This 980-nucleotide long non-coding RNA is filed under the name Spirodela polyrhiza (greater duckweed). RNAcentral describes it as "long non-coding RNA (SPOL_LNC001076)". Lineage: Eukaryota; Viridiplantae; Streptophyta; Magnoliopsida; Alismatales; Araceae. The record is from RNAcentral.
CUGAUGAAGUAUUUUUGCUUCCUGAACCUUGAGUGAGGUGCUUAGUAUCAAUUGAACCAAAAGGCCUGGGCACGUUAAUCCUUUUUGAGGAAGAACCAGAAAGAUUCACUUGUGCAGGAGAGUUCAUUUUAUCACCACCAAUGCCCGGUCCCUGUGAAGGACGCAUCCAGUCAAACUAAAAAGAUCAGGUAUAGGAAGGGAGAGUAACAAUGCAAGAAUAUUUCACUGAGAAUCGGAAUAGAAUGUUAUGGUCAGGGAUCAUAGAGAUGAAGAAGUUUUAAACAAGGUGAUCCAAAGAAUUUAAAAAACAGGAUUUCACUUGAAGAUGAGACAUAAAUAUCUAUGUUUAUGGCAUUGGGCAACAAACCGCUUCUUCAUGACGGUGACUGCCAUGAGCGUUCUCAUCAGUUGUCGGCCUGAAUUGUAUCUGACUGCCAGGUUGAACGGCAUUACUGGAUCCAGGAUGCUCUCUUACUUCUCCUGCACAAGAAGAAUAAUGUUUACAUGAUAUCAGAUGCAUACCACAAGUUCUCAGAUAGUAACAUACAACUCAAGAAUUGAGUCAUUUCUGCAAACAAUGAGGCCAAUACUGAAUUUAAUGGCGAUGUUCUGCUUGCUGAUCAACUAAAUGUGAUACGUAGUAUAAACACAUUUGAAUUUGUCUAGAACUAAUAUGAUCCAAGGAAUAGUUUUCCAAAAGCAAGAAUAAACAGAUAUUUAUUUUCUACAAAAACAUGAGACAACAAAUACAAACUAUAUAAAUUAACAAAGGAAAUACUAAUCUUAAUCAAUGAAAAUCCUUCUUCCUCUCUUCAGGUAAUGUUCUGAUUAAGAAUUUAAUUUUAUUUCUAGAAAAGUGAAGAAUUAACAUUCGCUUGCUCAUUUUCCUACCGCCAUGUGAAACCCUUUUCCGUAACAAGAAAAUUAUUUUAGCAAAAAACUAUUAUAGCGCCUUCUGAUAGAACGAAGUGCAACUUGAA